Microplitis demolitor is the source of this 2917-nucleotide RNA transcript. RefSeq lists it as uncharacterized. The transcript is spliced from 3 exons. Lineage: Eukaryota; Metazoa; Arthropoda; Insecta; Hymenoptera; Braconidae. The record is from RefSeq and is a predicted model, not a curated record.
CUUAUAGCAGAAUGAGCCAAUCAGGUGUCAAGUCUUUACGCCGCAUGUAUUCUCAUUGGUUGUCCAUACUAGACGAAAGAAAUGUAGACAACAGAUGAUUGGAAAUCUCCCAACUUAAAUCCUGAAGAGUCUGAAUGUGUUGGUGCCGAUCAUGGAUUGUUUUGUUUUUCAUAAAAAUUAUAAAAUCGACAACAGUAGCAGUCAUAAUGACAACAAUGAUUGCAAUUAUAUCAGCACAACAACAACAACAACAACAAGAUGGGUAAUGUUUUGUAAUAUGGAAUGAUUUUUUCCAAUAGAUUGGUUGAGUUUAACACUUGGAAAUAUAUUGGAAGAAAUAUUAACUCAGUUGGAAUUAUGCAGUUAGUGAAAAAUUUGAUGAUACAAUUCUUUCAGUUGCCAAUAUAACAACGGAAUAACAAAUAAGCGAUAUCAAUAUGAGCUGGUGUUUUAUUCCAGGAGAUCGAACACCACCACCAUGGAGAUAUCACUUUGUGGGAAAUUUAUUGGCAGAAAUGUAUCCUGAUCUAGAAGGAACACGGAGGAGUGGAUUUGCUCAAUUAACAGAUCAAGGAAUUGAGUUAACUCCAUCACCAGCUUUCCAGCUGCAAUCAACAAACAAUAAUAAUAACUAUUAACAAUUUAUGGCAAGAUAUUUAAAUUAUGAAGCGAGUAUUCCUUAAUUUGGCUGAACACAUUCACGAUGGGAUAUAUUGUUAAUUCUGUAUCUCAACAGCUUAACUCAUUGAGAAUUGUAGAUGAUACGCAACGCUACAAUCAACCUAUAAUAACAAUCGGAACAUUAUCGUGCUAUUUAAUAAUUAACGAUGAGAACCACUACUGGUGGUCUCGAUUUGAAAUUGAUGUCACAACCGUUCCAACUUUAGCUGACUACUAUUUUACAGGAAACUUAGUUAUACAAUUAUGCAUGGUUGGAGCUGCUGAAUUACAAAGACGAACACAAUAAGAACAACAAAUGCAACAAUUAUAAGAACUACAGAUCCAUGAAAACUCAGAUGAUAAUAAAUUUAUUGCUGAUACUGUGAUACUAAUGGAUAAAUCUAUUAAUUGUAAUUCAGAUGGUGGGUGGGAUAAAGAUGAAAAAAGUGACCACGAUGAUGAUGAUGAUGGUGGUGAUGAGAACAUGUUAGGAAUAUUUAUUAUAAAAAAUAAUUAUUAUUAUGACAAGCUAGUUAAUUAUGUUUUGAAAGAACAACAAUUAUUACUAUUUUUUUAAAUUAUGUUGAGAUGAAAAAAAUUGUGAUCUUCAUUCAUUUAUUCAUUAUUUAUUCGGGGAUCUCAGUUUUUUUAUUGAUAAUAUUUUUUUCUAAUAUAACAAUACGAGUAAUAGUUUCAAAAUUAUUUUUUUUUUUCAUUAUGUGAAAAAGAAAAAAUUUUUCUCUAUAUGUUUAUUUUUUAAAAGGAUAUAACUAUAAGAUUAUAUGUAAAAGUGCCAAGUCUGUGCAUAGAAGAAUGUAUAUGCAUAUGGCUGUGUCAAAAAAAUCGACUAAUGUUUUUUUUUUUCGAAUAGUCGUGGGAUUCUGUUAUAGGAUAUCAAAAUAAAGUUUCUGUGAAAAUAUGAGUUCUUAAUAUUGAUAUUUAGAGGUCGCGAAUCACAAUUUUCUAUUUUCCAUUUAAAUGACAUGGGAAAAAAAAACUUAAGCUUGGAAUUUUAUACCUCGGCAAUGACUUAUUGUACAAAUGAGCUCAGGAUAUAUUUUGUAGGGAAUUAACGAUCUACAAAAAAGUCUCUUAUUAUUUUUUGAUAAAUUCGUCUGUUUACAAGUUAUUGGAGCUUGAAGUCAGAUUUACAGUAAAUUUCAAGUUCUUUUUGAUUUUCCGGCGAAACGAUCAGAUUAUUCACAAAAUGUCGUGAAUUUUUUUUUGUAGAAAAUUUUACUCCUGACGAACUAUUUGGAAUAAAGUUUUUUUAAAUUCUGCAUAUAUUCCUAGUUAUUUACAUUUUAAUGUUAAGCUCUUAAAAUCGAUCAGAACACUAUUUUCUUAAGAGCUUGAUAUUGAAAUGGGAAUAACUACAAAGUUAUGCGGAAUUCGAAAAAUAUUUAUUCGAAAUAAUUUGAUAAGUCUGAUAAUCUGCCGAAAAUGUUAAAAGAUUUCGAUAUUUACUAUAAAUUUGACUUCAAGCUCCAAUAACUUUUUAACAGACGUAUUUAUCAAAAAAUGAUAACAGACUUUUCUUGUAGAGCGCUUAACUCUCUACAAGAAUAUAUCCUGAGCUCAUCUGUAUAAUGAGCUAUUGCCGAGGUUCAAAAUUCCAAGCUUAAAAAUUUUUUUUUUCCCAUAUAAUUUAAAUGGAAUAUAGAAAAUUAUGAUUCGCGACCUUUAAAUAUCAAUAUUAAGAGCUCAUACUUUCACAGAAGCUUUAUUUUGACAUCCUAUGACAGGAUCCCACGGCCAUUUGAAAAAAAAAAACAUUAGUCGAUUUUUUGACACACCAUAAUGUAUAUAUAUAUUAGGGUGUUUCGAAAAAAAAACAAAUUUUUUUUUAUGGUGUCCAAAAAAUGAAAGUAUAACUAAAAAUAAGAAUUUUGGUAACAAUCCGGGCUUUUAAUAGUGGUAUUGCCUUAAUCCAUUUUUUUAUUUUUCAUUUAAAUAACACGGGAAAAAAAAUUUUUUUUUUUUUAGAAUUUUCAAGCUCACAAACCGAUCGACGGAUUUUUAUGCCUAUUAAAUACUUUUGUAGGAAAAUGAACACUCUACGAAAAAAGUCUCUUAUCAUUUUUUGAUAAAUCCCACAGUUCGGAAGUUAUUUAAGCUUCAACUCAAAUUUAUAGUAUAUUUUGAGGUUUUUUUUUACUUUUCCGGCGGAAGUAUCAAUCUUAUCAAAAGAUGUCAUGAGAACAUUUUUGUAGAUAAUUUUAUUCCUUACAAAUUAUUAUAAACAAAAUUUUUCAAA